RNAcentral lists this ribosomal RNA (496 nucleotides) under uncultured bacterium. Its description in RNAcentral is "partial 16S ribosomal RNA". It matches the Rfam family "Bacterial small subunit ribosomal RNA", at positions 28 to 507 of the family's 1533-position model. The record is from RNAcentral.
GACGAACGCUGGCGGCGUGCCUAAUACAUGCAAGUUGAGCGCUGAAUGUUGGUCCUUGUACCAACUGGGUGAGCAGCGAACGGGUGAGUAACGCGAGGGGAAUCUGCCUUUGAGCGGGGGACAACAUUUGGAAACGAAUGCUACUACCGCAUAAAAACUUUAAACACAAGUUUUAAGUAUGAAAGAUGCAAUUGCAUCACUCAAAGAUGAUCCCGCGUUGUAUUAGCUAGUUGGUGAGGUAAAGGCUCACCAAGGCGAUGAUACAUAGCCGACGUGGGAGGUGAUCGGACACCUUGAGACUGAGACAGGGCCCCAACCCCGACGGGUGGGAGCAGUAGCGAAGCGGCGGCUAGGGACGAGAGUUUGACCGAGAAACGGCGAGUCAGUGAAGAAGGGUUUCGGAUUGUAAAAUUUUGUUUGUAGAGGAGAAGGGUGGUGAGAGUGGAAAUCUCAGCAAGUGACGGUAACUACCCAGAAAGCGACGGCUAACUACGUG